Abrus precatorius (Indian licorice) is the source of this 2744-nucleotide RNA transcript. It is a transcript of the gene named glutamate--tRNA ligase, cytoplasmic, with no coding region annotated. NCBI's taxonomy places the organism in Eukaryota, Viridiplantae, Streptophyta, Magnoliopsida, Fabales, Fabaceae. The record is from RefSeq and is a predicted model, not a curated record. The transcript is spliced from 6 exons.
AGUCAAAAUUGGAAUGAAGAGAGAAGAUAAAAACCAACUUUGCCUAGACAACUUUAACCUAGACGAACCCGUGUUUCUGCUAAGCAGCAAGCAUCAAAGCUGUCCGUCGGGUCGGGUCUUCGGUGUUGAAUUAACAAAGCAUGGACAUCAGAAACUUUUCUUUCGCCGCAUCUACUCCACCGUUACCGGUAAUCGCCGCUGCCAAGCUCGCCGGAAUCUCUCUCCCGAUCGAUACCUCUCUCUCUCCUGACUCCGCUCCCACAUUUCUCUUCUCGGAUGGGCUAAAAUUGCAUGGAGUGUUUGUUCUUCUACGUCAUAUUGGGCGAGUUGCCAGCCUUCCCAAUUUCUAUGGGCAAAAUGCACUUGAAUCUGGCCAGAUUGAUGAAUGGCUGGAGUAUGCUCCUAUCCUCUCAUCAGGCCCUGCUUUUGAGAAUGGAUGCAAAUAUAUAGAUGAGUACUUGGGGAAGCGUACAUUUGUGGUUGGUUAUUCAUUAUCAAUUGCAGAUGUAGCAAUCUGGGCAGGUCUUACAGGAACUGGAAAGAGAUGGGAAAGUUUAAGGAAGUCAAAGAAAUAUUCGAAUCUUGUACGAUGGUUCAAUUCAAUAGUGACAGAACAUGGUACUGCUCUAAAUGAAGUCACAUCAAUCUAUGUUGGAAAAAAAGGAUUGGGAGAGCCAUCAGCAACCAAGUCAAGAGACCAGUCAGUAGUCACUGAUAAAGUGAAGAGUGUGAAUGGGGAUGUAUCUGAAAACAUCAAAGGAGGAAGCAAACCUUCGGCAGAAAUAGAUCUUCCAGAUGCUGAAGUUGGAAAAGUUCGCUUGCGAUUUGCACCUGAACCAAGUGGCUAUCUUCACAUUGGACACUCAAAAGCCGCUCUGUUGAACAAAUAUUUCGCUGAGCGAUAUCUAGGCCAGGUUAUUGUGCGUUUUGAUGAUACCAAUCCUGCUAAAGAAAGCAACGAAUUUGUGGACAACCUUGUGAAAGACAUUGAUACAUUGGGUAUUAAAUAUGAAAAAAUUACGUACACAUCUGACUACUUCCCUGAAUUGAUGGAAAUGGCUGAAAAUUUAAUUCUCCAGGGUAAAGCAUAUGUUGAUGACACUCCACGUGAACAAAUGCAAAAGGAGAGAAUGGAUGGCAUAGAAUCUAGAUGCAGAAAUAAUAGUAUAGAGGAGAAUAUAAAAUUAUGGAAGGAAAUGAUUGCAGGAUCAGAGAGGGGCUUACAGUGUUGUGUCCGUGGCAAGUUGGAUAUGCAAGACCCAAACAAAUCCCUUCGAGAUCCUGUUUAUUAUCGUUGCAAUCCAAUUCCUCAUCACAGAAUUGGAUCCAAGUAUAAAGUGUAUCCAACUUAUGAUUUUGCUUGUCCAUAUGUUGAUGCCAAGGAAGGCAUCACGCAUGCCCUUCGAUCUAGUGAAUACCAUGAUCGCAAUGCCCAGUAUUACAGAAUUCAAGAGGACAUGGGUCUUAGAAAAGUUCUCAUCUAUGAAUUCAGCCGGUUGAAUAUGGUCUACACUCUUCUCAGCAAACGGAAGCUUCUAUGGUUUGUCCAAAAUGGGAAAGUUGAUGGCUGGGAUGAUCCACGAUUUCCUACAGUGCAAGGAAUUGUGCGUAGAGGUCUGAAAAUUGAGGCACUGAUACAGUUUAUUGUUGAACAAGGGGCAUCCAAAAAUCUCAAUCUCAUGGAAUGGGACAAGCUCUGGACCAUAAAUAAGAAAAUUAUUGACCCUGUCUGUCCCAGACACACAGCUGUCAUUGCCGAAAGACGUGUGUUGUUGACAGUCACUGAUGGUCCCGAGAAACCAUUUGUCCGCAUCAUACCACGGCACAAGAAAUAUGAAGCCGCCGGAGAUAAAGCUACAACAUAUUCUAAAAGGAUAUGGAUUGACUAUGCUGAUGCAGAGUCAAUAUCAGCAGGUGAGGAAGUAACAUUGAUGGAUUGGGGAAAUGCCAUAGUGAAGGAAAUAGAGAAGGACCAAGAUGGAAAAGUCACAGGGUUGAGUGGUGUUUUGCAUAUUGAAGGAUCUGUGAAGACCACAAAAUUGAAACUCACUUGGCUACCUGACAUAGAUGAACUGGUUAGCCUGACAUUGAUGGAAUAUGAUUAUCUAAUUACAAAGAAAAAGGUACGGGUUCAUCCACUUUUAUUGAGCCUGUUGUUUUUUAACAAACUGAAUUUAGGAACUACUUUUAACAAAAAUAUAGUAAUUCUAUCUACUCUUUUGUUUAUAUGACCACACGCACACAAUCGGAUCAUCCCCCACCUAUCAGCCUUGGCUUUAAAUUGAGGAUAAAAUGGCACUUGCAUCUAAGCAACUAUUUGUCUAUAACAUCAGCUAGAAGAAGGGGAGGAUUUCAUUGAUGUACUUAACCCAUGCACCAAAAAGGAAACUCUAGCUUAUGGAGACUCUAACAUGCGAAAUAUUCAGCGUGGAGAUGUAUUGCAGCUGGAGAGAAAGGGAUAUUUCAGGUGUGAUGUGCCCUUUGUUCGUCCCUCAAAACCAAUAGUGUUAUUUGCAAUCCCCGAUGGAAGGCAGCAGACAUGUUUGAAGUAACAUUUUUGUUCUCAAACUGCUUAGAGCAUAACCCACAUUCACACUUGGCACAGUUGGUAAUGGGGAUAUCAAGUUAACUAGUGCAACUACUUUUUAUGUUUACCAUCAUUACCAUUUUAUGUUCAUAAGCAAACUGUUAUAAUUGGAUUCUUGUCUCGGCAAUUGGAAAAGUCUUCUCUCUCUGUUUUUCUU